UGUAACAUGGUUAUUUGGCAAAUAGAUCAGAAGAAUGCUCCAGAUGUAGUUCAACCAGACGAGCUGAACAAUUGACAGCUCUAUCUUAUUUUCAUAGAUAAGAUGAAAAGAUAGAAAAUGAUGUUUAGAUAAGUUUGAAAUGACUAAGCCUCCCUCCCCACCUCCAAAUAGUUUGAUGUCAGUCAAUUUGGAAGGAGAUCGCUAGAGGGAUGCUCAAGAUAAAUUUAACAGGAUUAAAUAGAAAGUUUUAAAAUUGAAUUUAAGAAAUAAAUUUCACUGGCACAAAGUAGGGAAGAAUAUGACUAAAACUGAGGGAAGUUGACAUACUGUGAGCUGUGCCUCAAAAACAGGAGGAAGAGCUGUAGCUCAGAACAGAAUGUGGAGAUUGGAUGUGUUUGUAAUAGUGUCGCACCUCUUUUUACCUCCUAUCCACACAUGUCAUAGUAGGUCAUCUGUUUGGCUGGAGAUUGUAAAAAACUUUUAAUAAGAGGAAGCUAUAUCAAAGCAAGAAAUUACUAAAGGAGGAAAGUCAAAUGACACAAUAUGGAAAAAAUUCCUAAGUGAAGCUUCCUAGGGACUGAAGUUUAUAGAAAUCUCUGAAAUGCAGGACAGUUUAUCAAGGCAGACAGAGGCCCUUCAUAGAUAACUUCUGGAGGAAAAAUAAACCAAGAACUUAAAAACUAUAAAAGAAGUUUCUGUCUGAGUUCAAAUGUUGAACUUCAGGGAAGUCAUAAAGGAAAGAGACCUCGCAAAUGUCAAGCAUGUGGGAAAAAUUUUAAAUAUCAAUCUGAUAUUAUUAAACACUUGAGAAUUCACCCUGGAGAGAAACCUUAUGAAUGUAAGCAAUGUGGAAAAUUCUUUAACCAAAGUUCAGAUGUUAUCAAAUAUCAGUGAAUACAUACUGGGAAAAACCCUAUGAAUGUAAUGAUUGUGGGAAAACUUUCAUUCAUAGUUCACAUGUUACUGGACACCAAAGAAUUCAUAAUGGAGAGAAGCCAUUACAUUUAAUGUAAUGAGUGUGGAAAAACCUUCAGUCGGAGCUCAAACCUUAUUCAGCAUCAGAUAAUUCAUACUGGAGAAAAACCAUAUGAAUGUAAUCAUUAUGGCAGAUCUUUUAAUCAGUUUUCAUUACUUAUUGAACAUGAGAGAAUUCAUACGGGACAGAAACCGUAUCAGUGUAAGAAAUGUGGAAAAACAUUUAGUCAUAGCUCAGAUGUUACUAAACAUCAGAGAAUUCAUACUGGAGAGAAGCCCUAUGCAUGUCAUGAGUGUGGAAAAACCUUUAGUCAUAGCUCAGGUGUUAUUAAUCACCAGAGAAUUCAUACAGGAGAAAAAUCCUAUGUAUGCAAUUAAUGUGGAAAAGCCUUUAGAAGAUGGUCAGGUUUUGUUCAACAUCAGAGAACUCACUCUGGAGAAAAGCCUUAGAAAUGCAGUGAAUGUGGAAAAGCUUUUAUUCGGAGCACACAGCUUAGCAAGCACUAGAGAAUUCAUACUAAAGAGCACAUUCCAGAAUAAACCAGUUAGUGUAAUGAAAAAAGAAAAAGGAGAAUCUGUGAGAGCAGAGAAUUCAGUCUAAAGCAUCUUUUCAAGAGUUUGUAAGAUUUUGGAGAUCAGGCAUUUAACCUGCAUUAUGCAACUCCUAAGCCUUCAUCUCAUAAGAUUUGCUAAA
Molecule: long non-coding RNA, 1669 nt
Organism: Sarcophilus harrisii (Tasmanian devil)
Lineage: Eukaryota; Metazoa; Chordata; Mammalia; Dasyuromorphia; Dasyuridae
Exons: 3
Source: RefSeq, a predicted model, not a curated record